This 233-nucleotide ribosomal RNA is filed under the name uncultured bacterium. RNAcentral describes it as "partial 16S ribosomal RNA". It matches the Rfam family "Bacterial small subunit ribosomal RNA", at positions 99 to 334 of the family's 1533-position model. The record is from RNAcentral.
CGGACGGGUGAGUAAUGCUUGGGAAUCUGGCUUAUGGAGGGGGAUAACUACGGGAAACUGUAGCUAAUACCGCGUAGUAUCGGAAGAUGAAAGUGCGGGACCGUAAGGCCGCAUGCCAUGGGAUGAGCCCAAGUGGGAUUAGGUAGUUGGUGGGGUAAAGGGCCUACCAAGCCUGCGAUCUCUAGCUGGUCUGAGAGGAUGGCCAGCCACACUGGAACUGAGACACGGUCCAG